Molecule: long non-coding RNA, 556 nt
Organism: Populus euphratica (Euphrates poplar)
Lineage: Eukaryota; Viridiplantae; Streptophyta; Magnoliopsida; Malpighiales; Salicaceae
Exons: 2
Source: RefSeq, a predicted model, not a curated record
GGGGGGGGGUGUAACAUUUCAUAUGCUUGUCUAUAAAUAGGUUGGAGAGCCUUGGCUGUAUAAGAGAUGCUAACUUGGGGUGCAAGUUUUGUGCAUCGCGCGCACACAUACAUAUUUGUGUAUUUCCCUUGUUGUUGAGAUUAAUAAAGGUUGUGAUUGUUUCCUAUACUAAUUUGUGUGCUUUGUAUACAUUGCAUCCUUUCUACUUAUGUAUUCUGCUUGUCUCAUUACAGAGAGAGUGUGGGGAAACCUCUAGGAGAGGGAAAACAUGUAGUUGCUAGACAAACAUAAGUGGAUAGAAAGAGGAAAGGUUGAGUCUAAUAGAGGACUGUAGUUGCUAGACAAACAUAAGUGGAUAGAAAGAGGAAAAGUUUGAGUCUAAUAGAGGGCUGGGCUGCUGCAUAGGAACUGAAAAGUUUCAAGGAGAAAUUAACCCUGCGACAUACUAAGCCCCCGUUUGGGAUUGCGGCCCAAAUGGAGGUUGGCCAAAAUUCAAUUCUUUUCUUAAUUUUUUUUUUAUGUUUUUCCGAUUGUUGUGAUAUGCUGAUAUCAAAAA